RNAcentral lists this ribosomal RNA (433 nucleotides) under uncultured bacterium. RNAcentral describes it as "partial 16S ribosomal RNA". It matches the Rfam family "Bacterial small subunit ribosomal RNA", at positions 29 to 507 of the family's 1533-position model. The record is from RNAcentral.
AACGAACGCUGGCGGCAUGCCUAACACAUGCAAGUCGAACGAGACCUUCGGGUCUAGUGGCGCACGGGUGCGUAACGCGGGGGAACCUGCCCUUAGGUUCGGAAUAACUCCCCGAAAGGGGUGCUAAUACCGGAUAAUGUCUUCGGACCAAAGAUUUAUCGCCUUUGGAUGGGCCCGCGUUGGAUUAGCUAGUUGGUAGGGUAAAAGCCUACCAAGGCGACGAUCCAUAGCUGGUCUGAGAGGAUGAUCAGCCACACUGGGACUGAGACACGGCCCAGACUCCUACGGGAGGGAGCAGUGGGGAAUAUUGGACAAUGGGCGAAAGCCUGAUCCAGCAAUGCCGCGUGAGUGAUGAAGGCCUUAGGGUUGUAAAGCUCUUUUACCCGGGAUGAUAAUGACAGUACCGGGAGAAUAAGCUCCGGCUAACUCCGUG